AUAUUGGACAAUGGGCGAAAGCCUGAUCCAGCCAUGCCGCGUGUGUGAAGAAGGCCUUCGGGUCGUAAAACUCUGUCAUAGGGGAAGAAAAAGAUGACGGUACCCUAUGAGGAAGCCCCGGCUAACUACGUGCCAGCAGCCGCGGUAAUACGUAGGGGGCGAGCGUUGUCCGGAAUUACUGGGCGUAAAGGGUAGGUAGGCGGCUAUAUAAGUCAGGUGUGAAAUACCAGUGCUUAAACCUGGAAUUGCAUUUGAAACUGGGUAGCUUGAGUGCAGGAGAGGAAAGUGGAAUUCCUAGUGUAGCGGUGAAAUGCGUAGAGAUUAGGAGGAACACCAGGGGCGAAGGCGACUUUCUGGACUGUAACUGACGCUGAGGUACGAAAGCGUGGGUAGCGAAC
RNAcentral lists this ribosomal RNA (398 nucleotides) under uncultured bacterium. RNAcentral's name for it is "partial 16S ribosomal RNA". It matches the Rfam family "Bacterial small subunit ribosomal RNA", at positions 361 to 773 of the family's 1533-position model. The record is from RNAcentral.